Molecule: ribosomal RNA, 497 nt
Filed under: uncultured bacterium
Lineage: Bacteria
Description: partial 16S ribosomal RNA
Rfam family: Bacterial small subunit ribosomal RNA
Source: RNAcentral
GAUGAACGCUGGCGGCGUGCCUAAUACAUGCAAGUCGAGCGAACGGACGAGAAGCUUGCUUUUCUGAUGUUAGCGGCGGACGGGUGAGUAACACGUGGAUAACCUACCUAUAAGACUGGGAUAACUUCGGGAAACCGGAGCUAAUACCGGAUAAUAUUUUGAACCGCAUGGUUCAAAAGUGAAAGACGGUCUUGCUGUCACUUAUAGAUGGAUCCGCGCUGCAUUAGCUAGUUGGUAAGGUAACGGCUUACCAAGGCAACGAUGCAUAGCCGACCUGAGAGGGUGAUCGGCCACACUGGAACUGAGACACGGUCCAGACGCCUACGGGAGGCAGCAGUAGGGAAUCUUCCGCGAUGGGCGAAAGCCUGACGGAGCAACGCCGCGUGAGUGAUGAAGGUCUUCGGAUCGUAAAACUCUGUUAUUAGGGAAGAACAUAUGUGUAAGUAACUGUGCACAUCUUGACGGUACCUAAUCAGAAAGCCACGGCUAACUACGUG